Molecule: RNase P RNA, 322 nt
Filed under: uncultured Alistipes sp.
Lineage: Bacteria; Pseudomonadati; Bacteroidota; Bacteroidia; Bacteroidales; Rikenellaceae
Description: Bacterial RNase P class A
Rfam family: Bacterial RNase P class A
About the family: Ribonuclease P (RNase P) is a ubiquitous endoribonuclease, found in archaea, bacteria and eukarya as well as chloroplasts and mitochondria.
Source: RNAcentral
UUCGGGUGGGGGAGGAAAGUCCGAGCAACGCAGAGCACCGCGCAAGUUAACGGCUUGAUAUUCGUGAGAGUAUAGAAGUGUAGAAGAAAAUAACCGCCAUCUUCGGGUGGUAAGGGUGAGAAGGCGGGGUAAGAGCCCACCGCGAGGGUAGCAAUACUCCUCGGCAGUACACCUCGUGGGUUGCAAGACCAUGUAUACCGACAAUUAAGGGCUGCUCGUCCAAUGUCGGGGGGUAGGUUGCUAGAGACGGCGAGUGAUCGCCGUAGUAGAUAAAUGAUAGAGGCUCUGCCGCAAGGUGGAGUACAGAACUCGGCUUAUAGCG